This 523-nucleotide ribosomal RNA is filed under the name Eleutherodactylus limbatus (Habana robber frog). RNAcentral describes it as "partial 12S ribosomal RNA". It matches the Rfam family "Bacterial small subunit ribosomal RNA", at positions 779 to 1522 of the family's 1533-position model. Lineage: Eukaryota; Metazoa; Chordata; Amphibia; Anura; Eleutherodactylidae. The record is from RNAcentral.
UAGAUACCCCACUAUGCCUGACCGUAAACUUUAACUUACACCUCAAUCGUCAGGGAACUACGAGCAAAGCUUAAAACCCAAAGGACUUGACGGUGCCCCAUAUCCCCCUAGAGGAGCCUGUCCUAUAAUCGAUAAUCCCCGUUUAACCUCACCACAUCUAGCUUAUCAGUCUGUAUACUUCCGUCGCAAGCCUACCACAUGAGCGAUACCUAGUUAGCCCAACGUCCACACAUAAAUGUACCCACGUCGACAAUACGUCAGGUCAAAGUGCAGCAGACGAUGUGGGAUGAGAUUGGCUACACUUUUUAACUUAAAAGAAACAGAAAACAAUAAUGAAACUUUGUCAGAAGGUGGAUUUAGCAGUAAAAGGAAAGUAUAAAAUUUCUUUUAACUCGGCACUGGGGUGUGUACACACCGCCCGUCACCCUCUUCAAAAAUUUCAGACCAGUACUUAACCCGCUAUCAAAAAUAAAGAAGAGGCAAGUCGUAACAUGGUAAGUGUACCGGAAGGUGUACUUGGAAA